GAAAAAUUAGUUAAAUUAUAACAUUAGUAUGUCAAACUAAAAUUAUCAAAUUAUUGAUAUUUUUUA
RNAcentral lists this transfer RNA (66 nucleotides) under Dasypogon diadema. RNAcentral describes it as "tRNA-Asp". The record is from RNAcentral. Lineage: Eukaryota; Metazoa; Arthropoda; Insecta; Diptera; Asilidae.